This 498-nucleotide ribosomal RNA is filed under the name uncultured bacterium. Its description in RNAcentral is "partial 16S ribosomal RNA". It matches the Rfam family "Bacterial small subunit ribosomal RNA", at positions 28 to 507 of the family's 1533-position model. The record is from RNAcentral.
GAUGAACGCUGGCGGCGUGCCUAAUACAUGCAAGUCGAGCGAACGGACGAGAAGCUUGCUUUUCUGAUGUUAGCGGCGGACGGGUGAGUAACACGUGGAUAACCUACCUAUAAGACUGGGAUAACUUCGGGAAACCGGAGCUAAUACCGGAUAAUAUUUUUGAACCGCAUGGUUCAAAAGUGAAAGACGGUCUUGCUGUCACUUAUAGAUGGAUCCGCGCUGCAUUAGCUAGUUGGUAAGGUAACGGCUUACCAAGGCAACGAUGCAUAGCCGACCUGAGAGGGUGAUCGGCCACACUGGAACUGAGACACGGUCCAGACUCCUACGGGAGGCAGCAGUAGGGAAUCUUCCGCAAUGGGCGAAAGCCUGACGGAGCAACGCCGCGUGAGUGAUGAAGGUCUUCGGAUCGUAAAACUCUGUUAUUAGGGAAGAACAUAUGUGUAAGUAACUGUGCACAUCUUGACGGUACCUAAUCAGAAAGCCACGGCUAACUACGUG